RNAcentral lists this ribosomal RNA (500 nucleotides) under uncultured Glomeromycotina. RNAcentral's name for it is "partial small subunit ribosomal RNA". It matches the Rfam family "Eukaryotic small subunit ribosomal RNA", at positions 591 to 1092 of the family's 1831-position model. Lineage: Eukaryota; Fungi; Glomeromycota. The record is from RNAcentral.
CCAAUAGCGUAUAUUAAAGUUGUUGCAGUUAAAAAGCUCGUAGUUGAAUUUCGGGAUUAGUAAGUUGGUCGUGCCUCUGGUAUGUACUGGCUUUACUGGUUCCUCCUUCUUGAAGAACUGUAAUGUCAUUAAUUUGGUGUUGCAGGGAAACAGGACUGUUACUUUGAAAAAAUUAGAGUGUUUAAAGCAGGCUAACGCUUGAAUACAUUAGCAUGGAAUAAUGAAAUAGGACGUUUGAUCCUAUUUUGUUGGUUUCUAGGAUUGACGUAAUGAUUAAUAGGGAUAGUUGGGGGCAUUAGUAUUCAAUUGUCAGAGGUGAAAUUCUUGGAUUUAUUGAAGACUAACUACUGCGAAAGCAUUUGCCAAGGAUGUUUUCAUUAAUCAAGAACGAAAGUUAGGGGAUCGAAGACGAUCAGAUACCGUCGUAGUCUUAACCAUAAACUAUGCCGACUAGGGCUCGGAUGAUGUUAAUUUUUUAAUGACUCAUUCGGCGCCUUACG